Molecule: long non-coding RNA, 1164 nt
Organism: Silurus meridionalis
Lineage: Eukaryota; Metazoa; Chordata; Actinopteri; Siluriformes; Siluridae
Exons: 2
Source: RefSeq, a predicted model, not a curated record
CUACGCUGUUCUUGUCUUUACUCGCUCUUAAUCUCUUGAUUCAUGCUAAUUGAAGUCUGGGAAUAUUCAGGAAGUUCAGGAAGGUCAUUUGAAUAAUUUGCUCGGAAUGUGUUAAGUUGACAUGGUCCUUAAAAACAACUGCUCAACUAACCAAUAAUGUCAAUUCUGCUUCCUGAUAGGUGGCCAUAUCUGUUGACCUUACCCAUAAUCCUCUCUGAUGUCAUGUUGAGCUUUGAUGAGACAGCUAUUGUCUCCUACUGUUCCUAUCCUCUCUUGUAAAUCAUGUCUAAUGUUUUUGCAUGUUUGACAAUUUCCCUGCUGAAGAAACUGCAGUGACCAAAACGAGUGACUUACUUGUUUCUCUGUCUCUCCGUCUGUCUCUUUCUGUUCACAGAAAAGCAAGAACUUGUUUUGAAGGACAGCAAUGCUUCCAGGGGGAAAUCUCUGGCAUCCAAGAGACUGCCCGCCGUCUGAGCCUCGGCGAACCAUCCUGGGACGAGGACUCUGCCCCUUCAUCCCUGCGGUUGAUUGGUGCGGAUACUGAGUUGUUGGCCAGGCACAUGCAUGUUCAACGGACUCAGUUUUUACAUCACUCUUAACUUAUUUUGGUUUCUGCCUUGUUUCAAGGGCAAACAAAACAGGCAUGGCAUUUCAGGCUUCCAUAGGGCAGUCGUGGAAAGGCAGGAUGCUUCGAAAUAAGGAAGAAAAAAAAAGGAAAAACAAUGUACGAGUUGUCUUCAUUUCUUUGUCCACGUGUAAACUAUGAAAAUGAUGUCAGAUGCAAAAAUAAAGACGUAAAUAUCACAAAUAAACCGAUACAAUGACCAAUUAAAAAUGAAAAAGCCAAACCUUUAAAGAAUAAACACAAGAACACUUUGUACACUUGUUCAGCUGCUUCUAGUCAGAGCAUUUUGAGAUGCAGAGUCGAUGUCAUGUGAUCACUUUCCAUUAUAUAGGCAUUGAUUUUAUUGCACUAUUUAAAUGAAUAUGUAAAAAAAUAAUCUGCCUGUCUCAAUUGUAUGGCCAUGCAGCAGACGUUUGCUGGCCAUGUCUGUCGUCUGGUCGCUUCCUUUUUUUGUUCACUUCCCUCCUGUGUUUAUUUUUAUACCAUAUUUAUUGACACUUUGACUUGAGAAAUGUAUUAAAGCCAGUCGUUUAUCUGAA